Molecule: long non-coding RNA, 1336 nt
Organism: Ailuropoda melanoleuca (giant panda)
Lineage: Eukaryota; Metazoa; Chordata; Mammalia; Carnivora; Ursidae
Source: Ensembl
AUGACCAUGAAAAAUGUUCUCCUUUUGGCAGAGCGUUCUCAGCUCCAGAAGAGAAGCAGCUCCCCUUUCUCCAAGUUCAGGGCCGAGUCCCCACCUGGGAGGGCACACAGACCUGGAUUGCGACCGCGUCACGCAUUAGCUGUGUCGGGCCUCGGUUUCUUCUCUGUACACGGGACUAGCAGCCCAAGGACACCGUUGGGAAGAUUUAGUGAGAUAAUACAUGAAAAGGGCCUGGCACAUAUGGGGAGCCCACGGUUGGUGCCCUCCCCUUUUCCUUGUUCUGAACUGGAAAUGAACCCAUGUGAAAGAAGGGGGGCGCCGCACGACAAGGUCAGCUCCGGGGUGAUUGCUCGCAGAGGUCUCCAGCUCAGCCCUCUGAAGUGCCUGGUCCCUGCACCCACCAAAACGGUUCCCUCCAGCCCUGCUGUUGUUCCGUUUCUGUCCGCCAGGGGGAGACAAGGCGCAGGCUCCCUCCCGUCCGGCUUUCCUUGCGCGUUCACAGAGCCUCGAGAGCGCGCGGCCGUGCGCGGGACCCCGCGGCCGUGCGCGCCCGCGGGACUCCCAGGGGCGGGGCGCGCACGCGCAGACGGCUGCGCUUCCCGCGUGGCAGGACCGGGUAGGGUUGAGGCUGCAGGCUCCCUGCAGGAGAAACCCUCCCUGAUUUCGGAGACCUCCCGCAGAAGAAGGUCAACUCGGAUGAGCCUUCCCAACUUCUGGCGUUUGCCUUCUGCGCGGCAGCGGCCCCCACCUGCCCUGGUUUCAGGAGCACUGGCCGCAGAUGGCAGUCAGGUGAGCCCCAGUCAGCCUGAAUCCUUACCUUGCUUGUCUUAUUCCCCUGCUCCAGCCUGGCCCCUCCCAGUCCAGAAUCACACCUGCAGGUGUUCAUGGAGGGCCACAGUCUUACCCUCCCUGGGGCUGCCCUCCAGUCCGGGACUGCUGUGGACAGCUCACCCAGAGAAGAGUCCAGCCAAACAGUGUAUCAUACCUUUAAGGACGGCGGUGAGCGGCCCUGGCUGGGUUGAUCCUCCACCCCCCACGAAUACAUUGAGGCCGAGCACCAGAUCCGAACGGGGCCAAUCACAGCCCUUCCCUGAGAACCGGUGCUGGGGAGGAGUGCUGCAGGCUGGGGCCUCGCUGGGCGCGAGGGAGCCCCUCCGCGACGUGACCCGGGAACGGAGACCUGAACACCGAGAAGACCGAAGGACCGGCACAGGCGCUAACAGGCGAACGGCCCAAGGGCUGGGGCGAGCCGGCCGCGCUCGUGCAGGAGAUCGGAAGGCUGGCGGAGGAUGCGGCGCCGCCGCCGGAACCGCUGCCCCGCACCGCCUCCCCCCCC